Molecule: ribosomal RNA, 464 nt
Filed under: uncultured bacterium
Lineage: Bacteria
Description: partial 16S ribosomal RNA
Rfam family: Bacterial small subunit ribosomal RNA
Source: RNAcentral
GACGAAUGCUGGCGGCGUGCUUAACACAUGCAAGUCGAACGGAAAGGCCCUGCUUGCAGGGUACUGGAGUGGCGAACGGGUGAGUAACACGUGGGUGAUCUGCCCUGCACUUCGGGAUAAGCCUGGGAAACUGGGUCUAAUACCGGAUAGGAGCCAUUUUUAGUGUGAUGGUUGGAAAGUUUUUUCGGUGUAGGAUGAGCUCGCGGCCUAUCAGCUUGUUGGUGGGGUAAUGGCCUACCAAGGCGGCGACGGGUAGCCGGCCUGAGAGGGUGGACGGCCACAUUGGGACUGAGAUACGGCCCAGACUCCUACGGGAGGCAGCAGUGGGGAAUAUUGCACAAUGGGCGCAAGCCUGAUGCAGCGACGCCGCGUGGGGGAUGACGGCCUUCGGGUUGUAAACUCCUUUCGCUAGGGACGAAGCUUUUGUGACGGUACCUAGAUAAGAAGCACCGGCUAACUACGUG